GGCGUCUUUUUGGCAUCUGUUUUUACCCGAUGAAGACUUGGCAUCCUAAUAUAUCGCCGUUCACAAUCCAUCGUCACACAACAUGUGGCAGUCAGGUUUUCCCCCUAUCAUCAAAUGAACCGAACCGAACCGAUGGGCAGCUGCCUGUAAGAACAUACAACUGUGACAUUGACAGCCAACCGUAGCGACUCAGCUGAUGACUGAGGUGUCAGCGGCGAAUCUGGAUGUUUCCAGUUCCAAAGAGAUGACUGGCUCUGCGACCGCUCACCAGUAAGGACACCUGUUAUCGAGGAGCUUUCCUACAGAGACAUGGAAACCACCUCACAGAUAGAUGAGGAGGGACAGCAGGUGCUUCCUGAUAAAAACCCAGCUGUCAGCAAAAGCACCGCCAUCACUGUAGCUGGAGAAUGAAGUUUGGCAUACUCAGCCUGUCUAUUAGCAUGAACAGCAGACGGAAGGCAUAAACAGCAAAAUCUCUGAAAUGUUAAAAGGCUGAACAUAUGUGGCUCUAAUGAAUUCAACCCAGAAAACCCGUCAGUCCAGAACUACAGGGCGCUCCAUCAGCUGGGUACAAAGAACAGAUCAGGAAAUUCAUGCUUUAUCUAUGAAAAACAGAAAAUUAUAACACUUUUAAUUAAUGCAGUAAGAUUUCUGACAACAUCCUGAUAUCUAAUUAGAUCACAUUAACAACUUACUGUAUUUUUACAUUAUCAGCUGCAGCUUUAGUUCAUAGCUUGCCGAUGGGACCUCUAGGGGGGUUCUGUGUGUUUUUACAGUAAACCUGUUGGCAUUAAUAAUUUUUAAAUUGCAGACUAGCCACAGUGUGGAUAGUAACAGCCAUUGUUGUCCUGGAUCUUUUAGUGUUUGGCAAUUGCUCAGUUCUCUCAGCAGGUUUCUAAAUCAACUAGAUCCCUGUGUGGAUCGAGGCUCACGAAACCUGCAAGGAUUCAGGCUGAAUCUAGUUUUAGAACCGAACAUAAAGCAGUUAUUUGUAAAAUGCUUUGUCAUUCAAAAUUC
Long non-coding RNA from Poeciliopsis prolifica (blackstripe livebearer), 1017 nucleotides. RefSeq lists it as uncharacterized. The transcript has 3 exons. NCBI's taxonomy places the organism in Eukaryota, Metazoa, Chordata, Actinopteri, Cyprinodontiformes, Poeciliidae. The record is from RefSeq and is a predicted model, not a curated record.